UAUUGCACAAUGGGGGAAACCCUGAUGCAGCGACGCCGCGUGAAGGAAGAAGUAUUUCGGUAUGUAAACUUCUAUCAUCAGGGAAGAAAAUGACGGUACCUGACUAAGAAGUCCCGGCUACCUACGUGCCAGCAGCCGCGGUAAUACGUAGGGGGCAAGCGUUCUCCGGAUUUACUGUGUGUAAAGGGGGCGCAGACGGCAGCGCAAGCCAGGAGUGAAAGCCCGGGGCCCAACCCCGGGACUGCUCUUGGAACUGCGAGGCUGGAGUGCAGGAGGGGCAGGCGGAAUUCCUGGUGUAGCGGUGAAAUGCGUAGAUAUCAGGAGGAACACCGGUGGCGAAGGCGGCCUGCUGGACUGCGACUGACGUUGAGGCCCGAAAGCGUGGGGAGCAAACAGG
This 397-nucleotide ribosomal RNA is filed under the name uncultured bacterium. Its description in RNAcentral is "bacterial SSU rRNA". It matches the Rfam family "Bacterial small subunit ribosomal RNA", at positions 362 to 776 of the family's 1533-position model. The record is from RNAcentral.